AUUGAACGCUGGCGGCAUGCCUUACACAUGCAAGUCGAACGGUAACGGGCCUUCGGGUGCCGACGAGUGGCGAACGGGUGAGUAAUGUAUCGGAACGUACCUUUCAGUGGGGGAUAACGUAGCGAAAGUUACGCUAAUACCGCAUAUUCUGUGCGCAGGAAAGCAGGGGAUCGCAAGACCUUGCGCUGAUUGAGCGGCCGAUAUCAGAUUAGCUAGUUGGUGAGGUAAAGGCUCACCAAGGCGACGAUCUGUAGCGGGUCUGAGAGGAUGAUCCGCCACACUGGAACUGAGACACGGUCCAGACUCCUACGGGAGGCAGCAGUGGGGAAUUUUGGACAAUGGGCGCAAGCCUGAUCCAGCAAUGCCGCGUGCAGGAUGAAGGCCUUCGGUUGUAAACUGCUUUGUACGGAACGAACGGUGAGCUCUAAUAAAGCUUGCUAAUGACGGUACCGUAAGAAUAAGCACCGGCUAACUACGUGCCAGC
Molecule: ribosomal RNA, 484 nt
Filed under: uncultured bacterium
Lineage: Bacteria
Description: bacterial SSU rRNA
Rfam family: Bacterial small subunit ribosomal RNA
Source: RNAcentral